Long non-coding RNA from Dicentrarchus labrax (European seabass), 1192 nucleotides. RefSeq lists it as uncharacterized. NCBI's taxonomy places the organism in Eukaryota, Metazoa, Chordata, Actinopteri, Moronidae. The record is from RefSeq and is a predicted model, not a curated record. The transcript has 2 exons.
CAGCCCCUUACCAACAAGACUGGCCUAGUUGCUCCUUUCCAAGGCCAGGGAUUUUGCCUGCAUGCGAUAAGAUGCUCCUGAGCAUUGCAAAAUAGCACAGGUAUUAGCCUGCCCUCAUCUUCACAAAGGAAUGCCACAGAAUAGCGUGAGGGGACGAAGAGGAUGAACCUAGACAGAAGCCAGCCACUAUUCUGGGUGUACAGAUAAGUGGUGCUCUGACAAGGGGUUCAGAGAAUGGGAAGGACGGCCAGUGGCACCCCUGCUGGGCCAGAUGAAGACAAGCUCACCAUGUGGUCUCAUCAUCCACAGCGCGUUCUCUACACAAAAAGCACAAGAUUACUGGCUGCCCUGUGUCUCCCUCAGCCCUCUGGUGAUGACCGUCCUGUUCUCCAUUCCGAGCUGCAAGAUGGACCUGUGGUGCAUGUGACAUCUGUAUCUGCCAAUGGACGUGCUAAGCCUGUCAGCUCCAUGGUGCUCAGCCUGUCAGUCAGCCUUGCCACGAACAGCCUGGGACCACAGCUGUCAUAAUGAUCCAACAAUAGAAAAGAACAAUCUGCUGAUCUUCUCUUAGCCUGACUGGAACUAUGGGUGUUCUUGAAACAGUAACUAUGGGUGUUCUUGAAACAGUAGUCAGCUUGUCUUUUUCAAAUGAUAUAGACCAGACACAGAACUCUCUGUCUUUACUGUUAUUCAAAUGUAUCCUCCAUUACUUCUAUUUAUUAUGAUAAUAGUGUUGAUGAUUAGAAUUAGACAACAAACAAUUUAUGGUAUUUGCAUCUGCACAACUCUGACGGUGCCUCUGUGUUAAGUUCACUCCUAAGCAUUGAUUAAUUGGCUUCUCAAGAGUAUGAAUUAGCAUGUUUGCUAAUACAGCACAUUUACAUUUUCACCGAUUCUUAAGCCAUUCUUUAUGGGCUGUCUUUUGCAUUUACAAUACAAAAGAAAACCAACUUUUAUUGACUGUUUUGUUAGGCCUUAGCUUUGGUCUUGUUCCACAUGGUCUGGUCCAGGACUCAAGUCAUCCUAGACCCACUUUCAGUCUUGGUUUGGAAAUGACUUGGACACCAAUAUAAUUCUAACAGUCAAGCAAUAGAACCUGUCACAACAUUUACAAAGUGCUGUCAGAAAAAGAAGCAAAGCAUCAAAAAUUGUUUGCUAUAAUAAACUGGGUAUUGGUAAAACCAUUAACGUC